Molecule: unclassified non-coding RNA, 222 nt
Filed under: Hevea brasiliensis (rubber tree)
Lineage: Eukaryota; Viridiplantae; Streptophyta; Magnoliopsida; Malpighiales; Euphorbiaceae
Source: RNAcentral
UUGAUAUUGCUGGUGUUGAAACUGUUGGUGAUUCUGCAUCAAAUUCCUCUGCACAUACUGCUGCUGCGGAACCCUCGACUGAAAACUGGGGUUCGCGUUCAUACCGGCGCCUCUACCAGCACUGAUCCCUGGCGGAUACCGCCCUCUAUUAUAAUUGUUCAUCACUAACAACCUUAGCUAUAACUACCUAGCCGAUUCAAACCCAAAAUUUGUGCAAAAACU